UACGUAGGGGGCUAGAGUUGUCCGGAUUUACUGGGUGUAAAGGGUGCUCAGGUGGAUUUGUAAGUCAGAGGUGAAAUCCCAAAGCUUAACUUUGGAGCUGCCUUUGAUACUGCAAGUCUUGAGUUUGAGAGAGGGUAAUGGAAUAUCUGGUGUAGCAGUGAAAUGCGUAGAUAUCAGGAGGAACACCGGUGGCGAAGGCGGGUCUCUGGGCCGUAACUGACGCUGAGGAGCGAAAGCAUGGGGAGCGAACAGG
RNAcentral lists this ribosomal RNA (253 nucleotides) under uncultured bacterium. RNAcentral describes it as "partial 16S ribosomal RNA". It matches the Rfam family "Bacterial small subunit ribosomal RNA", at positions 524 to 776 of the family's 1533-position model. The record is from RNAcentral.